Molecule: long non-coding RNA, 1134 nt
Organism: Anoplophora glabripennis (Asian longhorned beetle)
Lineage: Eukaryota; Metazoa; Arthropoda; Insecta; Coleoptera; Cerambycidae
Exons: 2
Source: RefSeq, a predicted model, not a curated record
CGACACGACUAAUGGAUCGUGGAAGUUGACAUUCAGCCCAGGUCUCGGAGCUUACCAGUCGAUUUGACAAGGAACGGAACGUGCCCGCAGGUAUGACUAACAGACGGGUGGACUUGCCCUUCUUAUAAAAUGCCACCAGAUGACGGAUGUCCUGGAGUUUACCAAUUAAAUGGUACUGAAAUCGUGCUAGCCGAUAUGAUCCACCGAGAGCUUGAUCUGCCGUUCAGCCCCGAUGAUUUCUUAAAUAUUUGUUAGUUAAGGUUAAGCUAGGGCCAGUACCAGUCAGUUUUAGAUCCUAUUUUAAUUUUCAAAAUUCAAACUAGCUUACGUCAGAUCACAUAAGGUCUUCACUCUCACACAAACAUGGGCAAAAUGCCUGUUUCAAAAUGGUUACUCUUUUUUUCUCUGGAGCGACAAAAAAACUCCUAGUUAAAUUUAAUAUUUUACUAAAAUAACCUGAAUGUCAAGGCCUACACAAAAACAAUGUUUACAAAUUGGCUGCAAUCAUAUGUCCUGGUCCUAACCUGAUUAUAUUCACCCUUUUAUUUGAAAAUUUGAUCCUGAUAUAUAUUUCUAAUAGGUUAGUAAACUAUACAAUAUUUAUGUUACAAUUAACCAAAAAUAAAUUUUAAUGUAAUGGGGAAGCAAAGCAAAGUACAAGGUGAACGAGCGAAACCCAAAUAUUUCGCCCUGAACCGUUACAAUUUAUAAUUUUGAACUUACCGCCAGUCCCGUCUAAUCAAAUGCUUAUACGCAUGGGUUACAAUUUCAAUAUAUAUGCUAUUUCCAUUAGUCAUCUUUAGUUUUAAAUUUUCCGCUAAUUUCACUCAUAUGCUGAUACUGAUGCAAUUCCGAAUAAGAACGAUGUAAUGCUGUUUGGAGUUCAUUGGCCUCCCUUAUAGGUACGAUUUGUGUUGACUAAUUGGUUUUAAAGUAAUUAAUUACAUGUUCUGCACAUAUAUUUUCUCACAUAUAUCUUAUUUCUAUUAUUUUAGUUUUUGAAUUUACCGCCAAUCCCCUCAUGCCGAGAUCUACUAGGCAAGCAUUUAAAUUUUAAUGUUACAUAUAUUUUAUUUCUUGUGUUAACAAUUAAUUUUGGAUUUACCGCCAAUUCUAUUAAACUAAUUUCCUAAA